Molecule: long non-coding RNA, 442 nt
Organism: Magnolia sinica
Lineage: Eukaryota; Viridiplantae; Streptophyta; Magnoliopsida; Magnoliales; Magnoliaceae
Exons: 2
Source: RefSeq, a predicted model, not a curated record
GUUGGAUUUUUUCAUAGUUUAGAAGAUUUGUAGGCUGACAAGCUAAAGAAGUCAGUGGAGGAUGAAAUUCAUUUUCUCAAGGGAAUGGUUUCAGAACUUGAAAGUGAUCUUAUGUCGAAGUCCACAGAAGUUACAUCUGCAGUUUCAAGGAAAGAAGAAGUUUUAUCUUCUGCAUUUGCUAAAAUUGACCAUCUGAAGGAAGAAAAUUCUGUAAAAACGUGAGCAUUAUUGAAUGCAUAUGGAGGGUGUUUACUGUGUUGGAGUGUAUUUGUUUCUUGCACAUGAGGGCAUGCCUUAGUUGUAAUUCUAAUGAUAAGUUGAGCAAAGUGAAGUAUUGUUUAUUUAGAAAUGUAAAUAUAUGAUGCAUUGUAUGAUUUGAUUGCUAUUUGUAAUAAAUGCAUCCUUUUUUUUCUGAUUGCAUUUUAUAUACUAUUUUUAUCAG